GGGUCAGUAGGUUGGUCGUGCCACCGGUACGUACUGGUCUCACUGAUUCCUCCUUCCUGAAGAACCGGAAUGCCAUUAAGUUGGUGUUGCGGGGAAACAGGACUGUUACUUUGAAAAAAUUAGAGUGUUUAAAGCAAGCUAACGCUUGAAUACAUUAGCAUGGAAUAAUGAAAUAGGACGAUCGAUCCUAUUUUGUUGGUUUCUAGGAUUGACGUA
RNAcentral lists this ribosomal RNA (216 nucleotides) under Glomeromycotina sp. RNAcentral's name for it is "partial small subunit ribosomal RNA". The stretch from base 87 to 216 matches the Rfam family "Eukaryotic small subunit ribosomal RNA", at positions 733 to 864 of the family's 1831-position model. The record is from RNAcentral. Lineage: Eukaryota; Fungi; Glomeromycota.